RNAcentral lists this ribosomal RNA (995 nucleotides) under Salmonella enterica. RNAcentral describes it as "bacterial SSU rRNA". It matches the Rfam family "Bacterial small subunit ribosomal RNA", at positions 159 to 1150 of the family's 1533-position model. The record is from RNAcentral. Lineage: Bacteria; Pseudomonadati; Pseudomonadota; Gammaproteobacteria; Enterobacterales; Enterobacteriaceae.
GUGGCUAAUACCGCAUAACGUCGCAAGACCAAAGAGGGGGACCUUCGGGCCUCUUGCCAUCAGAUGUGCCCAGAUGGGAUUAGCUUGUUGGUGAGGUAACGGCUCACCAAGGCGACGAUCCCUAGCUGGUCUGAGAGGAUGACCAGCCACACUGGAACUGAGACACGGUCCAGACUCCUACGGGAGGCAGCAGUGGGGAAUAUUGCACAAUGGGCGCAAGCCUGAUGCAGCCAUGCCGCGUGUAUGAAGAAGGCCUUCGGGUUGUAAAGUACUUUCAGCGGGGAGGAAGGUGUUGUGGUUAAUAACCGCAGCAAUUGACGUUACCCGCAGAAGAAGCACCGGCUAACUCCGUGCCAGCAGCCGCGGUAAUACGGAGGGUGCAAGCGUUAAUCGGAAUUACUGGGCGUAAAGCGCACGCAGGCGGUCUGUCAAGUCGGAUGUGAAAUCCCCGGGCUCAACCUGGGAACUGCAUUCGAAACUGGCAGGCUUGAGUCUUGUAGAGGGGGGUAGAAUUCCAGGUGUAGCGGUGAAAUGCGUAGAGAUCUGGAGGAAUACCGGUGGCGAAGGCGGCCCCCUGGACAAAGACUGACGCUCAGGUGCGAAAGCGUGGGGAGCAAACAGGAUUAGAUACCCUGGUAGUCCACGCCGUAAACGAUGUCUACUUGGAGGUUGUGCCCUUGAGGCGUGGCUUCCGGAGCUAACGCGUUAAGUAGACCGCCUGGGGAGUACGGCCGCAAGGUUAAAACUCAAAUGAAUUGACGGGGGCCCGCACAAGCGGUGGAGCAUGUGGUUUAAUUCGAUGCAACGCGAAGAACCUUACCUGGUCUUGACAUCCACAGAAGAAUCCAGAGAUGGAUUUGUGCCUUCGGGAACUGUGAGACAGGUGCUGCAUGGCUGUCGUCAGCUCGUGUUGUGAAAUGUUGGGUUAAGUCCCGCAACGAGCGCAACCCUUAUCCUUUGUUGCCAGCGAUUAGGUCGGGAACUCAAAGGAGACU